This 439-nucleotide ribosomal RNA is filed under the name uncultured bacterium. Its description in RNAcentral is "partial 16S ribosomal RNA". It matches the Rfam family "Bacterial small subunit ribosomal RNA", at positions 339 to 795 of the family's 1533-position model. The record is from RNAcentral.
CUACGGGCGGCUGCAGUGAGGAAUAUUGCACAAUGGGGGGAACCCUGAUGCAGCAACGCCGCGUGGAGGAUGACGCAUUUCGGUGUGUAAACUCCUUUUAUAUGUCAAGAAAAUGACGGUAGCAUAUGAAUAAGCACCGGCUAACUCCGUGCCAGCAGCCGCGGUAAUACGGAGGGUGCAAGCGUUAUUCGGAAUCACUGGGCGUAAAGGACGCGUAGGCGGGUUGGAAAGUCAGGUGUGAAAUCCUACAGCUUAACUGUAGAACUGUACUUGAAACUUCUAAUCUAGAGUAUGGGAGGGGGAGAUGGAAUUAGUGGUGUAGGGGUAAAAUCCGUAGAUAUCACUAGGAAUACCUAAAGCGAAGGCGAUCUCCUGGAACAUUACUGACGCUAAGGCGUGAAAGCGUGGGGAGCAAACAGGAUUAGAUACCCGUGUAGUC